UUUUUUUUUUUUUUUUUUUUCGUCACUUAUUUUUAUGCCUCUUCCAUUAAGAUGCAUAAGCAUAACGCACUCAAUUUACACCAGGACUGAGAUUUUGAGAACUUGCUAUUUUAGGGGCAGUUCUUAUUUCCCUGGGAAGAGAUUUAUCUUAUUAAAAUGCCUCUAAGUUCAAUAUUCUUUUAUUGCCCUCCGGGAGGAGCACAAAACUGAUUGUUUUAAUCUCCCUUGUAUCAUAUUUUAAAUUGAUUGUUAUCAUACUACCAUCAAUAAAAUUUUAAUUAAUCUCUGAAAAUCCUUUCCAG
RNAcentral lists this unclassified non-coding RNA (302 nucleotides) under Hevea brasiliensis (rubber tree). Lineage: Eukaryota; Viridiplantae; Streptophyta; Magnoliopsida; Malpighiales; Euphorbiaceae. The record is from RNAcentral.